GCCGCGGUGGUCUAGCGGUUAGAACGCUGGCCUUGUAAUCCUGGGGUCUCGGGUUCGAUUCCCGGCGGUGCCC
This is a non-coding RNA of Zootermopsis nevadensis, 73 nucleotides long. The record is from Rfam. NCBI's taxonomy places the organism in Eukaryota, Metazoa, Arthropoda, Insecta, Blattodea, Termopsidae.